UGCUGGAAGAGCUGAAUGAACGGGGCAACCCACAAAACCCCUACCAUGUUAACCUACUACUGGGGUAUGGGCACCAGAGUAGUGGCUCAACAUUCGAGACCUCUUGGCCUCUCUCUCCCCUCGCUCCCUGGCGAGGAUACCCUCGAUCCUCCUAGAAAUGCUCACUACCUGUUGAUAAGGAAUGUCCAUCUCCAACUCUUGAUCCAUGCUAGAUCUGAUGGGUGGGAUAAGACCCUUAGUGAACUUGUUUUGGGCCG
This 257-nucleotide long non-coding RNA is filed under the name Nicotiana benthamiana. RNAcentral describes it as "long non-coding RNA (NBEN_LNC032103)". Lineage: Eukaryota; Viridiplantae; Streptophyta; Magnoliopsida; Solanales; Solanaceae. The record is from RNAcentral.